AGUCAACCCUGAUCCUUUUGUUUCAGAGUGAAUGAUUUAAUCAUCUGAUAUGGCAAUAACUCUGAAGAAUUCUGGCUAGGAUGUAUCAGCAAACUGCAAUGCAGGCACAGAAUUUCAAUGAAAAUGCAUUAUUCUGAAAAUCUUUCUCUACUGGAAAAUUUCCAGACCAAUAUCUCUUCAAAAGAGGAAAGGCUGUUAAAUAAUGGGCCCCAAUGCCAUUAUGAUACAAUCCAUGUAAUUCAUAUUCAAGAUUCCCCAUGAUCCAGGAAAGCCACUGAUGCUACAGCUAUUUUCUUCACAUUUCAUAUAAGAAGAAGGAGUAAAAUUGGGAAUUCCAGCGAAAUGACAUCUGCUUACAUCUGUUGGCCAUCUCUAGCUGCCAAGGAGACUGAAAAAUAUAGGGUUUUUUUGGCCAAGUAUGUUGUUUAUCAGCACAAAAUUAUGGUGCUGCAAGUAAAAUUGAAUGGAAACAUAAA
This 476-nucleotide long non-coding RNA is filed under the name Homo sapiens (human). RNAcentral's name for it is "non-protein coding lnc-ZNF804A-2:2". Lineage: Eukaryota; Metazoa; Chordata; Mammalia; Primates; Hominidae. The record is from RNAcentral.